Molecule: non-coding RNA, 10267 nt
Organism: Ictidomys tridecemlineatus (thirteen-lined ground squirrel)
Lineage: Eukaryota; Metazoa; Chordata; Mammalia; Rodentia; Sciuridae
Source: RefSeq, a predicted model, not a curated record
GGCUUGUCUGGCAGGGCCUCUUUGCGUCCUCCCUGUACAUUCCUAAGUUCUGUGAAAGAGGCACUAGCAGCUCAGCCUAGCAAGGAAGGAAAAAAGAGAGGAAGUCUCUGCGUUCUGAUUACACCCUGAAUUCCCUUGUAGUGAGCUUGCUUCUCUCCACCCACUUCUUACUGAGAACUCUUUAACUUGACGGUGAACAACUUAAAACUUGAUCCUGCAGGAGUUACCUGAAAGUGAUUUUGAGUAUUCAUUGAAUCGAAAGAACAAAUCACCUACUUCAGGCGGUGGGAAGCAUAUGGAAAUUAUAUUAGAACUUCAGCAAAGUGCACAGCUGCAUAAUACAGAAGCCGGCACUCAGAUUGACAGGCAAAUAAGCCAGCUUGUGGAAGGGGCCUCUGGGUGGCAGCUCUGGGCUUUUGGGUGUUGGACAACUAUAGGCAAAACUGAAAUGGAACAGGGGCAGAAAAUAGCACACUUUUACUCUACGCAACUGUUGCUUUCGCAUGAUCUUCAGGAACUUUACUGGGAUAAUAGUCCACAUGAAAUUCCAAGCAUUCUCUUCAAAUGGUUAUUGAUCAUUAAAAUGGCAUUGUAAUGGGAGAACUCUGAAAUAAGAGAGCUGUUUCGGAGAUUAAGACAACUCUCAGUGUCAAGAUUUGAACAAAGAAUGAAAUAUAGAAUGUGACCAGAGUAGGGGUGAUCAUCUCAUUGAGAAGCAUACAGUGUGAAAAGGUUUUUCAAAACACUUCGGGAUAAAUAACAGAUGAAUUCUUAAAACUGUUAAUCUCUGGCAUCCUUUACAACCAAUCAGAGAACAUUUUACACACCCAUUAAGGCAUUUGAACUGGGCAAACAGGACGACAGCAGCAGUGAGCAUGAGAUCAUUGCAGCCGUGUAGCAAACUGGCAUCCUGCCUUUUCACCCCUUUGGUUCGGGAGAGAAACGUGUGCAGUCCUCAUUUCUAAAGUCAGCACAGCCCGGAAGGAUUCCUGGUCUCUCCCACCUUCUACCAUUCUGCUGCCAGUGACGGCAAGGAUUGGUGCAGCUUCUGCGCAGUGCUUUGUGCCUGGAAUACAGAGAAGGAAGAGAAAGAAGACAAGCACUCUCGUCCUUCUUUGCUAAGAAAUAACAGGAGCCCUGAAGAAAAAAAAUUGUCUUACUUCAUGCAAGAGUUUUGAAAAAAAAAUAUAUGAAAGACUCCUACUCAAAAAAACAAAAACAAAAACAAACAAAAAUCCAAACCAAAACAAAUCAAAAAAAAAAAAAAAAAAAAAGCAAACAUUGGCUUGUAUAACUACAGAGACUUCGGGCUUGGUAAAGCAGCUUUUAAGGCAACAUAAUCAAAUGAGCCUUCUUUAUUUUUAUGAUUUCAAAAAAUAUGGCAUAAUUAACAAUACAUUGCUCUUGGUGAAAUCGCACCUUUCAUAUCAGGGAAAAACUUAAAAUGGAUAUGAGAAGUGAAGAAAGUGAUCAUAGGAGAAAACCAUCUCAGAUCAACCACUUCAGAAGAACCAGAUUCUACUUCUGUGGCCAGGACUUUUAUGUUAUGGCUGGUCCGAUUGUUUUACCCUGCGUUCUGUGCUACUAAGCCUUGGAUCAUUCCUAAAGUACAAAUUCUGUUCUCGAACCACAAACAAGGCUAAAAGAUCGGAGGAAAUUCAGUGAAUAUACUGGAUUGAGAUUGUGUGUUUUCAAGAGUAUCGAGCAUUAUAAUGUAGUUAUUCAAGAAAUAGAAUCAUUUUUCUUUCUUAUGAUGUUGCCAGGAUUUUAAGUUACAUGUUUAUUAAGUGGCAUUGCUCAAAUAACUACAGAGUAUGCAUGGAAAUAUUUGUUGUCUGGGUAGUUUGGAGAUUUAAUGAAAAAAAUUGAGCUUCAGAGGUAUUAAAUUAUGACAUGCAAAAAAGUUUUUGUUUGAUUCUUAACUGCAACGGUAUAUGUGUAAAUCAGAUUUAGAGGGUUAUAUGUCCUGGGCCCACCUUAACAGUUGUGAUGUAUAGAAGUGUAAUGGAAAGCAAAAUUUCAAUUAGGGUUCCAUUAACUGGCAUAUAACCCUUCUUUAAUGCAAUAGUGGCUAUGGUGUUGCUGUACAGAUCGGCUAGCAGCAGAUUUUAACCCAUUUUUAGUCUCUUUCUUUGAAUCUAAUGGAAUGGCUCUUAACUGUUCAUUGUCUGCAUUGUUUUUCAUAUUCUUCAUUAUUUGAAGGUGUGGAAUUAGGCUGUAAAUGGUCAUCGUGAUUAGUCACCUCAUCCUUUACUUAUCGUUUAUAUGUCUACUUAUGUAUUUUAAUUAGUGUUUAGAGGAAAAAGUCUAACCGAACCCAACUGUAAUUCUAAACCAUCCUUAUUACUGGAAGAAGAAUUCUACUGCAUCAAACCAGACUUUUCCUAGUCCCUGAGACCCUAACUUGUGAGGUAUUUUAGUAACAUCACAAGUCAGGCUCUUGGGACCUAGGCGGAGGGGAACCAGCAGCUUUGGACCUUAUUGAUUGUCUGCAGUUACCAGCAGAACAAAAGAACAUACCUAGAUCCUGCCUAGGAGAAAAGAACAAUGCAUUUCUUUAUAAUCAGCAAUGUUUUCACCAUGACUCCCCCCCAAAAUACUGUUGUCAGAAACUGUAGUCUAAAGUGAUUACACAGUUACACUGAAAUAGCUAUUUGUUUUAUAAAGACCAUACGAAAGCAACAGAGUAGAUAUCUAUGUAAGAGGCAGAAUUAAAAUACGAGUGGUUUUAAAUGCUUCUUUUGGUGUAUUUUAAGUGGUUUGUGUAAGAGAAUAUCUCCUUAGUUAAUGAAGAGAAUUGUUUAUAUUUAUAACUUUUUUUUCAUUUGCAUAGAAUUAUAUACAUUGGCUACUUAAAUCAAUCUUGUUAUGUCUUCAUACAACUAUGGCUCGGAAUAUGUAAUCUACAGCUCUGAUGCUUGAGGCCUAGAAAUAAAAUGAUUUACAGUCUUUUUUACUGACCCUAUUAGAUUUUACUACCGAUUUAAGGAAAAUGCUGUUUAUAUUUCGUAUUUAUUGCCAGAGUUUUCCUCAGUCUUUAACCCAAACAAAAUACUUUAAAUGUAUCAGAAAUUCCCUUGUUUAAAGAGCCCAAGAAUGAGAGUUGUCCUCAAAAAUUUAGGAAAAUAUGGCACCUUUUGGUUUUCACAUUUUACUUUGUGUGUGGGUGUGUCAAGGACCUGUGUGAGAUAAAGCAGUGAACCCCACCUAUGAAGUCAAACUGUCCCGGCUCCUCUGACAACUGAAUGUGAACUGCAUAGUUUCAGUUUACUAAGAAUUUUAGUUUUAUUAGCAGCAAGUAUUCCAACCAUAACUAAUAUGUCACAUUUGGACAUUUAUUGGUCAUUGACACCUUAAAUGUGUAUUUUUUUGAGACAAAUCAGUAUACUGAAUCUAUUAAAAAAUGUUACAAUAGUGUUACAUUACAAAUAUCAUGAUUUAAAAUGAAAAUGAGAGACUUUCCAAUUAAGAAGAAAGAAAGUGACUUUCUUCUUUUAACUCCACUACUUUACAUUGGUAGCAUAAAUUAUUUUCUGCAUUGUUAAAAUAAAUGUAUGACUGUAUUUUAGAAUACUGUAUGGAGUCUUUAUUCAUUUUUUUCUUGAAUUUGAUAGAAUUACUUGUGUUUAAAAUAUCACAAAACACAAAUCACCUAUAAAGUUAUAUUACUUAAAAAUUAAUACAAUAUUGUGAAGAGAGUCCUUAUCUCUACAAGGCACAAGAAUAUUAUUAACCAUGUAUCUACUCUAUACAUGGUUCGAUUUUUUUGUUUAUAUCACCUAUUUAAUUUAUCUAGAAACUCUGAAAUUUUCAGUGUGCACGUGUUUGUAUAAACAUGUUUUAAAACUCCAAAUGAAAGGAAACAGUAUAACCUGUAAAGAUCCUUAGAAAUAUUUAUCUUUUACUUCUUUUUAUCUCUUCUUGCAAAUGAACAUUUUUAAAAGCCAAAACUUUUUCAGUUACAAAUAACUUUCUAUGUGUAUGUACAUGCAUACAGAAACAUUUACUAGCAUUGUUCACACAAUGGAUCAGCAACUACCUGUUAUACAACAAUCACAUACAGGUAUAUGUUUACUGACACUUGUUUUUAACAUGAUCAUACAAAAUAUGAAUAAGAUGUUCUUUCAGUUUGGUUAUAAAAUAAGGUAAGGGAUAGAUGUUUAUUGGUUAUAGUAAUAUGAGAUACAGAAUAUUUUAAAUGCAAACAGUUUCUUUUUGUUAUCAUAUUUAUGAAUCACACAUAUUAUAUAUUUACUUAUGUUCCAUAAAAGAAAUACAGCAAAGCUGAAUUUAGAGUGCAACGUUUGUUCAUUUUUCCUGUAAACAUGCAAACUAUGUAUGUUUUCUUUAUUGCAUUCUUUGAACCUCUCUAUGUAACUUUGCUAUGUAAAUUGUCUUUUGUGAGAGUAUCAUUGAUAAAGCUUUCCUCUUAGUCCAUAAAGGUGUGUGUAGACAUAAGUGAGUAACUGGGUUUAUAUAAGCUACUUUAUACUGUAUGUGUACAGACAGAUGCCACUUUCUCUGCACUUCUGUUUCAGCUGUGACAGGAUAAUAUUGUUUGUUUGGGGGCUUUAUAAUAUGAUUUGGAAAAUCAGAUCAUACUAAGCUUAAAAUAAAAGGGAGAUCUACAACAAAGAGCGAGAAAAUGAUGUGUGUUGCAUACAAAAAAAGCAGUGAUAUUAACAAUUCCAUGGCUUCUUGGUUGGGAGGACAGCCAGAGCCAGACGCAUACAUUAAGAGCUGUCUGCUGCCGAUGUGAGCUUGCUCAAUGCGGUGGAAAUGAGGAAUCACCUCCUCUCUGACACCAGCUUAUUUGUACAUUUUAAUUUUGAAAUAGCAAAUCACUGUUUUAUAUAACUAUACCACCCCCCCGCUUGAUUCUUUUUAUUUCUCAUAUUGUUUGCUUAUUUACUGUGAACUUUUGAGUUCCUUUUAAAAACAAAAUUCAUUAUUCAACUUAAACAUCUACCAAAGACCAAUGAAAUAUUACUUUUUCUUUUGUCUCUUUUGUGUUACUCUUAUAAUAUUGUGAUAUUCAUGCUUUUAACUUUACAUCUCUUUAAGGAAAACAUCAAUUUUCCAAAAUGACAUUCUUGAACGCCUUUUAGGAUCCAUCAAGAAAGCUACUAUGGAAUUUUGCCAAAUCUAAGUAUGAUUAUAUUUCAUGGGAUCAAUAUCUUUCUCAAUUUAAAAGUCCUAAACACUUCAGGAUUCCAGUGAAGCCACAGAAGAGAGUAGAGAUAUUCUUAAAUCAUUCAAACAUUAGACUACAUUAAUAAUGUCUAGAAGAGGAAUAAGUAUCUCAGGGGAAUUACAAUCCAAAUUAAUUACUUAUGAAAUUGGAAAAGGUACAUUCUACCUUAAACUCUUCUUCAAAUGGACAUGCUGGUAAACAUAUCUGAACUUGGUCUAAUGCACCUUAAAUAUGUAAAUGGUUUUACAAGCUGUCAUGAUUGGGUGAAUUUUGAGAAAAGCAGGACAUAAAGGGUUAGCUAACGCCCAAAUUUUCUUGCCAUUUACACAUGCAGUGCAGUCUACAUUUCUGUGGGCAGCAAAUGCAGGCAUCAUUUUGAUUGCUUGGAUUCUUUUGUUUAAUUUCUUACUAGACAUUUAACUUAGCACUCAAAUCCCACUGAUCCCUUAGUAACUGCAUUUGGAAAAGGAAAACAAAGUUCCUAAUUUAGAGAAAUUAAAAAAAAAAUCCUGGGCAUUUGUAAACAUUUGAAAAAUAGUGUUUUUUGUGUAGCUUUGCAAAGAUAUUUUUAGUUUUCAGAAACUUAGUUGCUAUUAUUAUCUGUGUGUCAUCUUCACAGUUAGUAUUCUUAUUUAUCAGUGACCAGGUGCACAAGGGUUUAUUCAUAUAUACAUAUACACAUACACACAUACAUAUAUCUUCAUUUCUUAAGUAGUUUUAUUAGAAACAGUGUAAAAAUUGAGGCAUCUUGAUAAAAUCAUCCACGUGAUUUUUUCAUUAAGUUAGCUUCAAUUUCAUUGAUUGUUACUUUUCCCUACCUCUCUUUAUGCUCAGUGUAGCUUUAUCAGAUGAAGUGCAUUACCAGCUAGUAUUAACUUGUAUAUAAUAUUUUACUUGUGGGAGUUUGAAAUCAGGUAACUUGAGGGUAAAUGAGAUUAAUUAAUUUAAGAUUAAAUUGUUUCAUUUUUUUAUAUAAGGUAAUUCCAUGCAUAUUUUAUGGAUAAUUUAAAAGUGAAAAAAAUCUGUUAGAGUAAAUUAAUUUUUUAUUGUUGAUAUAAGUAAUGUGAUUUUAAGUUUGUUACCUUCAUAAUUAAUUCUUUAACAAUCAAAAUAUGUGUAACAGUAAUCAUGGACUACAUAUUUUGCGUCAAAAUAAAAAAUGAGCAAUGUUGUAUCAGAACCAGACUUCUUGGUGACCAGAAUUUCUGAUAUAAGGGAAGACCCACAGGGAAGACCAAUACAAACAAGAUUAGAGGGACAAGUCAAAACAUUGGAAUUAUCUUAUUAUGGCAUGAAAUGAACCAUUCACACCUACUCCAAGAAAGUGAAGCAUUUCUAUCACUGUCCUGGAAAACAGAAUUAAGGUAAAAAUAUGAAGACACAAUAUGAAAAGCCAAUUUUCCUUGCAAAGCACAAUAAAUAUAAGUAUAUUCUUGGAAAUGGAAAAAAAGUACAUAUUAUUAUUUUGAGAAAUGUAUGGCUUUAAAAAGUCACCUUAUGGUUACUGCCUUUUUGAUUCUUGUUAUUUAAAAAAAACUUGUAAAAAUUAGUGGUUUAUAAUUUAUAGUUAGCUAGCUCAUUAUGACAGAACUCUAAUCUCAUAUAUAUCACUUGUCAGAUAUUAGAAUACAUUUUUCACUAUUUAUUGAGGCUAAUAAAAUUAUAGUUUUUAUAUGCAUGCUUUAUUAUAGUUUUUAUAUGGAUGUGUUUUAUUCAACACUAUGGUUUUUGUACAAAUAUUCCAAUUAUUCAACAAUGCAUCACUAGAAUUAGACCUCUUUUCUAUUUUGAAACACUUGGAGAAUAUCUUAUUUUGACUCGGAGAGCUGAAUUGUAGGUUAAUGAGUUCUUUUCUAGACCUGAGGUUCUUUGAAUCUAUUUUAAUUCCACAUCAGGAAUUGAAAAGGUUUUCCAGGAAGAGUUAUAUAAAUCCACAAACUGAAAUAUGGGAGUCUAAGACCUACUUUUUCUAUUUCUGUUUGCCUAUUGCUUUUGUCCCAAAGUAAGAAUAGAGAUAUAUUGCUUUUUUUUUCGACAUAUUGCUUGUUAUAGCUGAUUAACAUUUUGAAUACAUUUUUCUAUGUGUUAAUUAAGCUCUUUCAUCUUAUAUGUGAUUUUAAAAUUAUUCUAUCAAGUAAUAUUAAACUUUUCACUAUUAGGAAUCUAGAGAAGACUGAGAUUUUAGGACAAAAGUUUGAAGUUGUUGUAAAAACAGACAAGAACAGCCAUAAAUAACUGAGUUUUUAAUUUCUACAGAACAAUGGCAAUAAGAUAAUCUGAACAAAAUUGAAUCAGAGAUUGUUAUACUUAUCAUAUGACAGGAAAUUUUAUUUAAAAUAUUAUUUUAUUGUGGUGAAAACACAACGUUAUCAACCUACUUAACAGAUUUUUAUGUGUAAAAUACAUGGUCAUUGGCUAUAGACAAAAUGUUGCACUGUGGAUUUCUAGGGCUUAUUCAUUUAGCUUAUCUGAAAUGUUAUGUGUGUUGGAUAGUAACUCCUCAUUUCUUCCUACCCACAGAGGAUGGCAACUGCUAUUCCACUCAUUGCUUCCACAAAUUUUACCAUUUUUUGUUCCUCACCUAGGUAAGCCAUGUAGUCAUUGUCUUUCAGUGAUGGAGUCAUCAGUAUUGUUUAUUAAAAAUUUUUCUUCCUUUUUUGGUGGGCUAAUAUUCCAUCAUUUAUACCACAUUUCUUUAUUUAUCUAUUUUUUUUGAUGGACAUUUAGGUUGUUUCCACAUCUUGGCUGUUAGUAAUAAUGCUUCGAUGAACAUGAGAGUAAUAUCCCUUAAAAAUCCUGAUUUCAAUUCUUUUCAAUAAAUUCCCAGCAGAGGUAUUGCUGGUUCUCAUAUGAUAGAAUUAUUCACAAUUUUGGAAGGAACCUUCACCUGUUUUCCAUGGCAGCUCCACCAUGUUGUAUUACCAACAGUAAAGAAGUAUUGCCAUUUCUCCUCAUCCUCACCAAAACUUUUCCUCUCUAGUUUGUUGAUAAUCCAUAUCCUGACAGGCUUGAGGUAGUAUUUCCUUGUAGUUUUGAUUUGCAUUUCCCUAAUGACUAGUGUUAUUAAAAGUUUUUCAAAUACCUGUUAGCUAUGUGUUUGUCUUCUUUAAAGAAGCAUUCGUUCAAAUUUCUAUUUCAUUUUUAAUUAUGUUUUGUUACUGAGUUUCUUAUGUAUUUUGGAAUGUAAUAACUUAUUGGAGGAGAUUCUUAUUUUUUUUUAAUUUCAUAUUUCAUAACAUCUCAGACCCAUGAAAUUAGCUAUAUUAAAGUAGGUGAUUUUGUGUUGCUUACUCUGACAAUACUGAUUAGAAAAUUAGCAGAAAUUGGUGAAAUGCAGCUUAUAUGAGGGAGCAGGCUACUUUUUAUUGGUUUAAUUAAACCCAGGUUCUGAGAGAUUUACUCAAUAACUUUAAAUUCAGUUAAGUAGAGAGUCAUGGCAGUUACUCAUAAAGCCUAAGAAGGUGUAUUUCAGCAGCUGUUUAUGUUGACAGCAUUCAGUGUAAUUGUAGUAUGAAAACAAGUUUCAUGAGAUAAAUUUCUUUUUUGAAUAUGCAAGUAAAUAUAUUUUGCAUUAAAUUCAAUUGUUAUCAUGUGUGCAGUUUAUGUUCUUAUGUGACAGUUAUAGAUUUUUAAAUAUCCAUUUAUGAUUCAUUUGAAAAGGUUUUUCUAUAAUUUGGUUGAGUUGUAACAAUGCUUAUUCUCAUUGUACAUUAUCAGAAUUCUAUAUUGAUGACAAAGUAGUUUAUCAGAAAAAAAAGCAUAUUCUCUGUUGAUACUUGAAAGUAAGCAUCACUUAGUAUAAUCCUGAUAAUGAUGAAAAUUUAUAUAGGAGGAUGUCACCUAGGAAGGAAGCCACCACUUCAGAAGUUUAAAUAUUCUCUUAGAGCCCUCUUUUCUUCUAUUUUUUAAAAAUUAUGCAUGACCAGUGAAUUGGAUUGUGUAUUGAAAAUGAUCAUUCUUGGGGGGGUGGAUACCGGGGAUUGAACACAGGGGAACUUAACCACUGAGCCACAGUUCCAACUCUUUUUUUAUUUUAUUUUGAGGCAGUGUCUUGCUAAGUUGCUUAAGACCUUGCUAGGUUGCUGAGGCUCGCUUUGAACUCAUGGCCCACUUGACUCAGCCUCCUGAGCCACUGGGAUUACAGGCAUGUGCCAACAUGCCUGAAGUGAUUUGGUAUUUUUAAGUAAAACAAAACUAAUAGAUCUUUGUAAGUUUCAAAUCUGAGAACUUGACCUAUUACACAUGUAAGGGGUGUUUGCUAGUUGAAAUGUUGAACAAAUAACAAAAUUGUAGAAUCUUAGAAUUAUGAUACUUUAAAGAUCAGUUGCUUUCUCCUGGAAGUCUGGAAACUUUUAGAAAUAGAAUUAACAUUUUCUAAGGUGGAGCAUUUUAUACACAGCCAAUGACAUCUUCAGAUAGCUCUAAUUUUUGAAAAGGUUUUUCAUAUACUGAGCCAAAUUUUGUCUUUGGAGCAAUACCAAAUAUGAUGACAUGACAGUCAUAUUGAAGGUUAGUUUUCAUGCUCAUCUAUCCUACAAACCAUUAAUUUACUAUAAUAAAUUUUCAAGAAUCUUAAAAUUAUGGCAUAACUAUUAUGCAUGUACAUGGACUUAAGGAUACAGUUCUUAAGAUCACAAAGUUCACCUGAGAUAUUUUUAGCCAGACUGUAGUAAAUUAGUCCAAUCACAGAGUUAUAGGAAGGAGUCCACACAAGACCACUGUUACUUCUGACAUCACCUGCAAGUUGGGGUUUUCAAAAACAGUCUUCAGUUUUCAAUGAGACUCAGAACUUACCAAAACUUAUUAUGCCCACAGUUCCAUUUAUGAGAAGGAAAUAAUACAGAUAAUCACCCAAAGGAAGACACAUGGUACAAAGGUUGGAAAGACUCCAAAUGUGAGUCUAUUGUCUUCAGAGUGUGCUCCCCUUUCAGUUUAUGUGGGAUCACAUAUGUAUUGGCCUCUGUUGUGCUACAGGAAUAGAAUCCCACAGACUGAGAGCUAUUUAUAAUAUGUAUAAAUAUAUUUCUUACAGUUUCAGAGGCUGGGAAGCCCCGACUGAGGAGCCAGUGUCUG